Molecule: ribosomal RNA, 253 nt
Filed under: uncultured bacterium
Lineage: Bacteria
Description: partial 16S ribosomal RNA
Rfam family: Bacterial small subunit ribosomal RNA
Source: RNAcentral
UACGUAGGUGGCGAGCGUUGUCCGGAUUUACUGGGCGUAAAGAGCGCGCAGGCGGUCGUCCAAGUCGCGUGUGAAAGCCCCCGGCUCAACUGGGGAGGGUCACGGGAUACUGUUCGACUUGAAGGCAGGAGAGGGUAGUGGAAUUCCCGGUGUAGUGGUGAAAUGCGUAGAUAUCGGGAGGAACACCAGUGGCGAAGGCGACUACCUGGGCUGUUAUUGACGCUGAGGCGCGAAAGCUAGGGGAGCAAACGGG